UUCGAUCCUGGCUCCAGAUUGAACGCUGGCAGGAUGGCACACAUACAAGUCGAACGGCAGCACGGACUUCGGUCUGGUGGCGAGUGGCGAACGGGUGAGUAGUAGUAUCCGGAACGUGCCUAGUAGCGGGGGAUAACUACGCGAAAGCGUAGCUAAUACCACCUUACGCCCUUCAGGGAAAGCGGGGACGAGGCCUCGCACUAUUAGAGCGGCCGAUAUCGGGAUUAGCUAGUUGGUGGGUAACGGCUCACCAGGCGACGAUCCGUAGCUGGUUUGAGAGGACGACCAGCCACGCAGGACUGAGACACGGCCCAGACUCCUGGGGAGGCAGCAGUGGGAAUUUUGGACAAUGGAAAACCCUGAUCCAGCCAUCCCGCGGCUGAUAUUGCGUGAAGGCCUUCGGGUUGCCAAGCACUUUGGCAGGAAAGAAACGGCACGGGAUAAUACCGUGCAACUGACGGUACCUUGCAGAGUCAUGCCGGCUAACUGCGAUGCCAGCAGCGCCGCGUGUACGUAGGGUGCAACGGCGUUAAUCGGAAUUACUGGGCGUAAAGCGUGCGUGAGCGGUUCGGAAAGAAAGAUGUGAAAUCAGAAGCAACUUUGGAACUGCAUUUUUAACUACCGAGCUGAGUGUGUCAAGAGGGAGGUGGAAUUCCGCGUGUGGCAGUGAAAUGCGUGAAUUAUGCGGAGGAACACCGAUGGCGAAGGCAGCCUCCUGGGAUAUACGCUGACGCUCAUGCACGAAAGCGUGGGAGACAAGCAGGAUUAGAUACCCUGGUAGUCCCGCCUAAACGAUGUCAACUAGCUGUUAGAGCCUUCGGGCCUUAGUAGCUACCGGCUAACGCGUGAAGUUGACCUUGCAAGGUACGGUCGCAAGGUCAAAACUCAAGGAAUUGACGGGGACCCGCAUAGCAGUGGAUGAUGUCGUUGGUCGAUGCAACGCGAAAAACCUUACCUACCCUUGACAUGUCCUGGAAUCCCGAAGAGAUUUACAGGAGUAUUUCGCAGAACCGGAACACAGGUGCCUGGCUAUAUCGUCAGCUCGUGUCGUGGAUGUUGGGUUAAGUCCGCAGCAGGCGCAGCCGCUGUCAUUAGUUGCUACGAAAGGAGCACUCAAUGAGACUGCCGGUGACAAACCGGAGGAAAGGUGGGGAUGACGUCAAGUCCUCAUGGCCUUAUGGGUAGGGCUUCACACGUCAUACAAUGGUCGGGACAGAGGGAGUUCGCCAACCGCGAGGCCAAUCCAUUGAUCGUAGUCGGAUCGCAGUCCUGCAACUCGGCUGCGUGAAGUCGGAAUCGCUAGUAAUCGCGGAUCAGCAUGUCGCGGUGAAUACGUUCCCGGGUCUUAUACACACACCGCCCGUCACACUGGGAGUGGGUUUGCCAGAGUGGUCGUUUAACCGUAAGAGGGCGAUUACCACGGUAGGAUUCAUGACUGGGGUGAAGUCGUAACAAGGUAA
Molecule: ribosomal RNA, 1460 nt
Filed under: uncultured Bordetella sp.
Lineage: Bacteria; Pseudomonadati; Pseudomonadota; Betaproteobacteria; Burkholderiales; Alcaligenaceae
Description: partial 16S-23S ribosomal RNA intergenic spacer
Rfam family: Bacterial small subunit ribosomal RNA
Source: RNAcentral